GUAGGUCCCAGCAGGGAGGACGAUAGGGACAAAACUGGAACUAGUUGACUUUCAUUGGCUCUAUCUCUGCCAGUCUUUUGCCCUACCUGCUGGACUCACUGCCUUCCAACCUACCAGUCCUAAUAGGCACCAGCCUCCAGUAUUCUCUUCCAGAUAUGGGUGAGUUCUGUACUUUAGUCCAUAAACACAGGGAGGGGACUAUUAUGAGUGAUAAUAAUUUAUCAUAGACAGGGACAGACCUUUGACACCUUCCCCCAGACCCUCGUGGAUUGAGUGGGGUGAACAAGACAAAGGGCUUUGGGAAGGAAGUAUGAGGCUCUGGCAGGUCCUAGAGCCCUCCCACCUCCUUCUCAAAGCCUGGUGAGUGUUUGUGCUUGACUUUGGGAAUGAGGCAGGAGGACUUGAGAAGCCUGUCAGAGCCCCAAUAACUCCUUCCCAAAGCCAAACAAGAGUUUGCUGGGCUUUGAGAAGGCGCCCUCCUCUGCUGCCAGCCCACUGCCUGCACCACUCAUACUGCCCUAAAUUUGCCUCUGCCAUAAAUAGGAAUAUAGAGAUCUGCCUUAUACCACGUCAAUCCAACUAGCAAUGUAUUGUCUGCUCUGUCUGAAAGUGGCUUUCCAGAAUUCAAGACAACGAGCAUUCCCAGACCAACCUAAAAUUGCACUAGGACCUUAGGCAUACGAAGCAGAAGCUCUACCACUGGGCUAUGAUCCUUCCCCAAUUGAUUAAAAAAUAAUUUAAAAAGGAGAAAAGAGAAAAUAUAUAUUCCAUCAAAUCCACUCUGUUCUAUGAUAUGUUCAAUAAUGAGACAUGUAGGCAACCAAAUGUUACCACUGUACAAAUCACCUUAACUGAUUCAACAGACAUAUGCAUUGGUAUGCCUUAAUACAGGCAUAGGCAAACUCAGCCCUCCAGAUGUUUUUGGCCUACAACUCCCAUGAUCCCUAGCUAACAGGACCAGUGGUCAGGGAUGAUGGGAAUUGUAGUCCCAAAACAUCUGGAUGGCCAAGUUUGCCAGUGCCUGCCUUAAUAUAUAUCUAAACUGUUUGCCUGUGUUAUCAUCAAUCUGGUAAAACUCUCCUUUCCAUUCCCGUCAGAAAAUCCCUUGUAUCAAGUAUGCUGAAUGUCCAUUGUGGGUUUCAUUUCAUUAUUUGGCUGUUUAUAUACCUGCAGCACAAAUAAUGUUCAGCUACCUGGGGUCAUUUUCAUUCAUAGAUACUCUGCAGACCUGUCACUUAUAAAACACCUGGGGUCUGUGUACACUGAAGCAUAAACGGUUCAUUAUAACUUCACUCAUUUUUCACUUAUUAAAGUCAAUAAAAGGCUAUAUGUGAAAUUCUACCCUAGGACUUGGUCUUGAUAUUUUCUACAAUAAAAAAGUGCUUUCACUAACAGUGAGGUUGCCAACAUUCGUAAUUGCUUGAUCUGGAACACAGAUUUGACCAGCUAAUAAUGAUUGGCAGCAUUCUGAAUCAAAUGCCAUCCCCCUGCCACAGAAAAAGUUGCUUUUCCAGCUUGGAAUGUAAAACCAAAUAUUCGGCAAGCCAAGAAUGCCCAAAGCCAACUGUUUUGUAGUUGCAUACAUGGAAGUUCAUUAAUAUGAAUCCCCUGUUCUUAAUAAAACUCUCAAUGCUUGCUGUGGAUUACAUAACCAGACUAACUUGACUAUUGCAACCUUUUGUUUCAUGAGUAUCAAAUUGCCCCUCAGGUUACCCAACACUCACACAUUUUUUCCUAGCUUUUAAAGUUAUUAUAACACUUUCCUUAUCAUGUAAGUGCUGAUGCAAAAUGCCCCAUGUGGGCAGCUCUAACAUUGUACCAAGCCGAUUUGUCAAUAAGCCUUGGGCACAUAGCAGUUGAAGCAUUGCAGCUACCAUCCCUGCUACCCUGUCGGAGCAGCUGGUGUAGUAUGUCACCUGAAGCUACAUAAGGCCUAUUACUAG
Podarcis lilfordi (Lilford's wall lizard) is the source of this 1943-nucleotide non-coding RNA. Lineage: Eukaryota; Metazoa; Chordata; Lepidosauria; Squamata; Lacertidae. The record is from the annotation of a GenBank genome assembly.